GCUGACGAGUGGCGGACGGGUGAGUAAUGUCUGGGAAACUGCCUGAUGGAGGGGGAUAACUACUGGAAACGGUAGCUAAUACCGCAUAACGUCGCAAGACCAAAGAGGGGGACCUUCGGGCCUCUUGCCAUCGGAUGUGCCCAGAUGGGAUUAGCUAGUAGGUGGGGUAACGGCUCACCUAGGCGACGAUCCCUAGCUGGUCUGAGAGGAUGACCAGCCACACUGGAACUGAGACACGGUCCAGACUCCUACGGGAGGCAGCAGUGGGGAAUAUUGCACAAUGGGCGCAAGCCUGAUGCAGCCAUGCCGCGUGUAUGAAGAAGGCCUUCGGGUUGUAAAGUACUUUCAGCGGGGAGGAAGGGAGUAAAGUUAAUACCUUUGCUCAUUGACGUUACCCGCAGAAGAAGCACCGGCUAACUCCGUGCCAGCAGCCGCGGUAAUACGGAGGGUGCAAGCGUUAAUCGGAAUUACUGGGCGUAAAGCGCACGCAGGCGGUUUGU
This 500-nucleotide ribosomal RNA is filed under the name Escherichia coli. RNAcentral describes it as "bacterial SSU rRNA". It matches the Rfam family "Bacterial small subunit ribosomal RNA", at positions 87 to 583 of the family's 1533-position model. Lineage: Bacteria; Pseudomonadati; Pseudomonadota; Gammaproteobacteria; Enterobacterales; Enterobacteriaceae. The record is from RNAcentral. RNAcentral also lists the same sequence under 1 other name.